This 778-nucleotide ribosomal RNA is filed under the name uncultured bacterium. RNAcentral's name for it is "bacterial SSU rRNA". It matches the Rfam family "Bacterial small subunit ribosomal RNA", at positions 8 to 780 of the family's 1533-position model. The record is from RNAcentral.
AGAGUUUGAUCCUGGCUCAGGAUGAACGCUAGCGGCAGGCUUAACACAUGCAAGUCGAGGGGCAGCACAGGUAGCAAUACUUGGUGGCGACCGGCGCAAGGGUGCGUAACGCGUGAGCAACAUGCCCGUAUCAGGGGGAUAAUCCAUGGAAACGUGGUCUAAUACCCCAUAGUAAAUUUUUGGGGCAUCUCAAAGAUUUUAAAGCUUUGGUGGAUACGGAUUGGCUCGCGUGACAUUAGCUAGAUGGUAAGGUAACGGCUUACCAUGGCUACGAUGUCUAGGGGUUCUGAGAGGAAGGUCCCCCACACUGGAACUGAGACACGGUCCAGACUCCUACGGGAGGCAGCAGUGAGGAAUAUUGGACAAUGGAUGGAAAUCUGAUCCAGCCAUGCCGCGUGCAGGAAGACGGCCCUAUGGGUUGUAAACUGCUUUUGUAUGGGAGCAAUAAGGGCUACGUGUAGUCCGAUGAGAGUACCAUACGAAUAAGCACCGGCUAACUCCGUGCCAGCAGCCGCGGUAAUACGGAGGGUGCAAGCGUUAUCCGGAUUUAUUGGGUUUAAAGGGUGCGUAGGCGGUUUGAUAAGUCAGCGGUGAAAUAUUUCAGCUUAACUGGAAGGGUGCCGUUGAUACUGUCGAGCUUGAAUUUAGUUGCUGUGGGUGGAAUGUGUGGUGUAGCGGUGAAAUGCAUAGAUAUCACACAGAAUAUCGAUUGCGAAGGCAGCUCACAAAGCUAAUAUUGACGCUGAUGCACGAAAGUGUGGGGGAUCAAACAGGAUUA